UCAGCCGCGUCGAGUCACCGCGCCGCCGAGCCUCCCGUUAGGCCGCCACGCCGUCGGUCCGCCUGCGCCACCGCGCCACGCCGAGCUACACGCCGGGCCGCCGCGGAGAAGAACGGAGGAGGAGGAGCCGCAAAGUCGACCUACCCGACGAGUACCCACGCCGAGCCACCACGACGCUGCGCUUCUUGCCCAGCUCCGUGCCCCCGAACAAAUCCUACUACUCGACGGCGAUCAUGGCGAAGGACGCCUUGGCCUUGAUGGAUCAUUUGGGGUGGAAGAAAGCACAUGUCUUUGGCCACUCUAUGGGAAUGUGUCAAGGGCAUAUCUUCAACAGGAAUGCAAUCUAAUUGCGGUCUUGAAGGGCAAGUUAAUGCAUGCUGGACUCACAACAUGAUGACUACAAAAGAAUUAGAGACAAUACGCUCUGCCGGUUUUCUAAUUUUAGUUAUUCAUGGAAGGUUAGUUUCUCUAACAGCAGAUAUUAUAUUCAGAGAAUGGUACCAUUUCACUUGACUUACAUAAUAUGCACGUACGAUAUAACUGCACAAUUGUGCAAUGCAAAACAUCUAGCAGAAAGGCUUCUUCCUACUGCUAGAAUGGUACAACUUCAUGGUGCAGCUCGUCUAUCUUGCCGCUUGCCGAGCCCUCAGUUGUAGCCAUAUACGUCGUGUUUUCGAUCAUCUGUGCAUUAUGCUGGGCGAGGUUAUUUCUACGGUACCUCUACAACCAAGAAAGCAACUGAAUUCUCCACUGACGGUAUGCAUUAGAACUCUUGUAAUUUCUCUGCACUCCUACAAGGCUUUGAAUUUAACAGGUGUGUUGCUAUACUCUGCAUAUGCUAUCCAUCUCACACUUAAUUAGGGAGGGACCUAGGUGCAAAGCAUUUGUCCUAUUAAGUUUUGCAUUUUAUUUUAUGUUUCAAUCAGCUACAAGUUAUAAAAGCUAUGUAAAAUCAGGAUUCUCAUAACUCGAUCUAUGGAAUAGAUAUAUUCAAAUUCAAAUAUUCAGCAUUACAGAUUCAGUUUCUGCAUCUAUAUCCAUUUUACAUAUUAAUUUUUUAAUCAUUUACUUUCAGACACACUGCUCCAAAUCUCAAUUCCAUCUGUAUAAUAAUAUUUGACAAACCAAAUCAAGCAAAGGUUUAUUACCACCGGUUCAAAUCCAUGCAUCUGCCUAUAGUCCUAGAUAACCACGUCUGUGAACGCUAUUGUCCAUUGUUUGUACUCAUCUAUCUAACUACAAAGAAAAA
Long non-coding RNA from Panicum virgatum (switchgrass), 1249 nucleotides. RefSeq lists it as uncharacterized. The record is from RefSeq and is a predicted model, not a curated record. NCBI's taxonomy places the organism in Eukaryota, Viridiplantae, Streptophyta, Magnoliopsida, Poales, Poaceae. The transcript is spliced from 4 exons.